AACUCUGACCGAGCAACGCCGCGUGAACGAUGAAGUAUUUCGGUAUGUAAAGUUCUUUUAUUGAAGAAGAAAAAAUAGUGGAAAAACUAUCUUGACGAUAUUCAAUGAAUAAGCCCCGGCAAACUAUGUGCCAGCAGCCGCGGUAAUACAUAGGGGGCGAGCGUUAUCCGGAAUUAUUGGGCGUAAAGGGUGCGUAGGCGGUUUGGUAAGUCUAUAGUUUAAUUUCAGUGCUUAACACUGUUCUGCUAUAGAAACUAUCAGACUAGAGUGAGAUAGAGGCAAGUGGAAUUCCAUGUGUAGCGGUAAAAUGCGUAAAUAUAUGGAGGAACACCAGAGGCGUAGGCGGCUUGCUGGGUCUUUACUGACGCUGAGGCACGAAAGCGUGGGGAGCAAACAGGAUUAGAUACCCUGGUAGUCCACGCCGUAAACGAUGAGUACUAAGUGUCGGGGAAACUCGGUACUGAAGUUAACACAUUAAGUACUCCGCCUGAGUAGUACGUACGCAAGUAUGAAACUUAAAGGAAUUGACGGGACUCCGCACAAGCGGUGGAUCAUGUUGUUUAAUUCGAAGAUACACGAAAAACCUUACCAGGUCUUGACAUACUCUGCAAAGCUAUAGCAAUAUAGUGGAGGUUAUCAGGGAUACAGGUGGUGCAUGGUUGUCGUCAGCUCGUGUCGUGAGAUGUUAGGUUAAGUCCUAAAACGAGCGCAACCCUUGUCACUAGUUGCCAGCAUGUUAUGAUGGGCACUUUAACGAGACUGCCAA
This 766-nucleotide ribosomal RNA is filed under the name Candidatus Phytoplasma cynodontis. RNAcentral describes it as "bacterial SSU rRNA". It matches the Rfam family "Bacterial small subunit ribosomal RNA", at positions 379 to 1155 of the family's 1533-position model. Lineage: Bacteria; Bacillati; Mycoplasmatota; Mollicutes; Acholeplasmatales; Acholeplasmataceae. The record is from RNAcentral.